CGCAGCCGCGGUAAUUCCAGCUCCAAUAGCGUAUAUUAAAGUUGUUGCAGUUAAAAAGCUCGUAGUUGAAUUUCGGGACCAAUAUGUCGGUCGUGCCUCGGUACGUACUGGUGUCAUUGGUUUCUCCCUUCUGACGAACCUUGAUGUCAUUAAUUUGGUGUCUUGGGGAAUCAGGACUGUUACUUUGAAAAAAUUAGAGUGUUUAAAGCAGGCUCACGCUUGAAUACAUUAGCAUGGAAUAAUGAAAUAGGACGUUUGAUUCUAUUUUGUUGGUUUCUAGGAUCGACGUAAUGAUUAAUAGGGAUAGUUGGGGGCAUUAGUAUUCAAUUGUCAGAGGUGAAAUUCUUGGAUUUAUUGAAGACUAACUACUGCGAAAGCAUUUGCCAAGGAUGUUUUCAUUAAUCAAGAACGAAGUUAGGGAUCGAAGACGAUCAGAUACCGUCGUAGUCUAACCAUAAACUAUGCCGACUAGGGAUCGGAUGAUGUUAAUUUUUAUGACUCAUUCGGCGCCUUACGGGAA
RNAcentral lists this ribosomal RNA (520 nucleotides) under uncultured Glomus. RNAcentral describes it as "SSU rRNA". It matches the Rfam family "Eukaryotic small subunit ribosomal RNA", at positions 569 to 1096 of the family's 1831-position model. The record is from RNAcentral. Lineage: Eukaryota; Fungi; Glomeromycota; Glomeromycetes; Glomerales; Glomeraceae.